Molecule: small nucleolar RNA, 76 nt
Organism: Archocentrus centrarchus (flier cichlid)
Lineage: Eukaryota; Metazoa; Chordata; Actinopteri; Cichliformes; Cichlidae
Product: small nucleolar RNA Me28S-Am2589
Exons: 1
Source: RefSeq, a predicted model, not a curated record
AAGAAAAUGAAGAGAAUAUGCUACAGAUUGCUAGAAUUGGUCUAUUCUUUAUUGUCUUUAUUUUUUUUAUUCAAUA